GCCUUGAAAUCAAUUUCUACCUAAUAUACACAUGCAAGUCUCCGCACCCCUGUGAAAACGCCCUUAAACCCCUGUAGGGAAGAGGAGCCGGUAUCAGGCACAAAUCAUGCCCAAGACACCUAGCUACGCCACACCCACAAAGGUACUCAGCAGUGAUUAACCUUGAACAUAAGCGACAGCUUGAUUCAGUUAUAGUAUACAGAGCCGGCAAAUCUGGUGCCAGCCGCCGCGGUUACACCACGUGGCUCAAAUUGACUUCUAUCGGCGUAAAGCGUGAUUAAAGCCACUUUGUACAAUAGAGUUAAACUGAAAUUAAGCCGUUACACGCUUAUUACCCAAGAAGCCCAAAAACGAAAGUUACUCCACCUCUAUCAACUUGAACUCACGACAGCUGGAACACAAAC
Molecule: ribosomal RNA, 404 nt
Filed under: Cycloramphus acangatan
Lineage: Eukaryota; Metazoa; Chordata; Amphibia; Anura; Cycloramphidae
Description: partial 12S ribosomal RNA
Source: RNAcentral